GGUGUUGUAGCUCAGUGGCAGAUCACUAUGUCUUGCAUGCAUAAGGCACUGGGUUCAAAUCUCAGUACCACAU
This 73-nucleotide transfer RNA is filed under the name Marmota marmota marmota (Alpine marmot). It matches the Rfam family "tRNA". From Rfam's summary of the family: Transfer RNA (tRNA) molecules are approximately 80 nucleotides in length. Their secondary structure includes four short double-helical elements and three loops (D, anti-codon, and T loops). RNAcentral also lists the same sequence under 1 other name. The record is from Rfam by way of RNAcentral. Lineage: Eukaryota; Metazoa; Chordata; Mammalia; Rodentia; Sciuridae.